This 253-nucleotide ribosomal RNA is filed under the name uncultured bacterium. RNAcentral's name for it is "partial 16S ribosomal RNA". It matches the Rfam family "Bacterial small subunit ribosomal RNA", at positions 524 to 776 of the family's 1533-position model. The record is from RNAcentral.
UACAGAGGGUGCAAGCGUUAAUCGGAAUUACUGGGCGUAAAGCGCGCGUAGGCGGUUUGUUCAGUCCGUUGUGAAAUCCCUGGGCUCAACCUGGGAAUGGCGAUGGAUACUGGCAAGCUAGAGUAUGAGAGAGGUGGGUAGAAUUCCAGGUGUAGCGGUGAAAUGCGUAGAUAUCUGGAGGAAUACCGGUGGCGAAGGCGGCCCACUGGCUUAAUACUGACGCUGAGGUGCGAAAGCGUGGGGAGCAAACAGG